AAAUGAAAUGGUGAAUCACAAGAUUUCGGUAGAUGUUGUUACUUUUAGUAUAUUGGUGGACGCAUUUUGCAAGGAAGGAAGCAUUAAAGAGGCUGAAGAUAUUUUGGAAGUUAUGAAGCAACAAAACAUUCGUCCCGAUAUUGUCACCUACACUGCACUGAUAGAUGGGUACUGUUUGCAAGGGAAAAUGGAUAAAGCGAAAGAAGUAUUUGAUUCUAUAACGGGCAACGGCCUUAAGCCAUGUAUUAUGAGCUACGGCACUUUAAUCAACGGAUACUGCAAGAAGGGUAAAGUGGAUGAAGCUUGGCGUCUUUUUCUCGAAGUUUCUUCGAAAGGCUUAGAACACACGACAGUUACUUAUAACACCAUGAUGCAUGGAUUAUUUAGUGAAGGCAGAAUUGCCGAUGGAUGGAAACUAUUCAACGAUAUGGAAACUCGGAAAGUACAUCCUAAUUUACGUACUUACAAUACUUUGUUGGAAGGCUUGUGCAAGACUCAUCAGAUUGCCGAAGCAUUUUCGUUUCUACGGGUGAUGGAAGACAAAGGAUUAAGUCCUAAUAUAGUCACAUACGGUAUCCUGAUUAGUGGUUUGUGCAAAGAUGGGAAACUUGAAGAUGCAAAAAAUCUUUUAAACGAACUUCCUUCCAAAGGUUUGCAACCAAAUUGUCAAACGUAUACCAUUGUUAUCGGUUCACUUUGUGAAGAAGGAUUUGUAGACGAGGCAAAAGAUUUGCUUGUGAAAAUGGAGAGGAGUGGCUGUGCACCGGAUAGUGUGACAUACAACAACAUAAUCCAAGGUUUGCUAAAGAGGAAAGAGGUUUACAAGGCAAUGCCAUUCUUAGAGGAAAUGUACAAAAGGGGAUUCUCGGCUGAUGCAGCUACUUCAUUCAUGUUAAUUAAUCACCUGCAAGGAUCAGAGAAACAUGAUUUUCUUCUGGAUAUGAUUAAGAAAGUUGUGCCGAAAUUAUAAAUUAUUUAUUUGGACUUCUGAAGUUUGAUAAGGUUUUAUUAGUUUUUUUUUUUUUUUUUUAAGAAGAAUAGUUAUUGGUUCCCCAAUUCCCCUCCUGGUGUCUCGAACCCAUGACCAAAUAGAUCUAGGUGCAAGGGUGCAAGGUGUUUACCAACAUGCUACCUUGUCAUAAGGUUUUUGAUAAGGCUUUGCUAGCAGGUCGGUCUGGUCUAACUUGUGAGUUUUGCCUUUGUGCACGGUCAUUGUAAUCCUUCAAAGUAUAUUUUGUAGGACAAAAAUGCACUUCACCCCUACAAAUUUCUCAUUUUCGCACUUCCCCCCCUAAAAAUUCAACAACUGGAUAAUCCCCCUUCAAAAUAUUAUUUUGAUUGCACUUUGCCCAAAGGCCAAUUUUUGUUGGGCAUGUGCAACAAAAUAACAUUUUAUAGGGGCAAUGUGCAAAAAUAUAGUGUUUUUAAGGGGUAACGUGCAACAAAAAUGACAUAUGAAGGGGCAAUGUGCAACAAAAAUAUCAAAUGCCGAUAAAUAAUCCAUCAGAAUAUUGUUAUCGAGGUAAUGUGCAACAACAAUAACAUUUUGAAGGGGGGGCAUUCAUUUUUUACAAUUUUGAGGGGGUAAAGUGUGAAAAUUAGAGUUUUUUAGGGGGUGAUGUGCAAUUUGCCCUAUUUUGUAACUAAUUCAAGUUACGUUGAGCCUUAUCAUCUUACUUUUGUUGUGUUUAUUUUUCUUUAUUGGGUAAAUUACAAAAGAACCCCUGUACUGAGCCUGAACUAUGAAAAACAUCGGCACCUACAGUAUUCGUAAUUACCAAAAUUCCCAUACGUUUGUUUUCGUCUUACACCUACCCCUUAUGGUGGGAUUUUUCAUGGAAUCUUUUUGAGUCGAGGGAUUAUUCCUAAAAAAAUGCCAAUUCUACUUCUGUAGACGUGACAUUUCUUUAUGCUACUUUUUAAAGACAAAAAUGAUCCUUAAAGGACCUUUACAUGGAAUUUUUAUUCUUCUUAGUAACACAUUCACAACUCUUUUGUACUAUUACGAAUAGAUGGGGUGUUUUUGUAAUUUAGCCUAAGUUCAGGGGAAUUUUCAUAAUUUACCAUUUAUUAUGACUGACCUUACAUGUAAUAUUCAAUUGAUUUGGUUGCCACAUAUCCCUUGUUUUAAUCAGUUGUUUUAUUUUAUUUUAUAUUUACCUAGGCAGGAAAUUUGAACUUGGGUUAAUUUAGACUUGUUCUUUUGCUCCAACCGCUACACCAUUCACUACAUGGCCAAUUAAAGAAGAUAUUGAUAUAUUGGGAAUUGAUAUGAUACAUCUUUAUAUAUAAAAGAAAGGUUUUCCCGAAACCCUAAAAACAGUUUUUUUUUGAAUAUUUUUGUGAAAUAUUUAUUUCCUUUACUUUCUUCUUUUUCAUAGCGCAUUCGAUAUUAUUUGUUUUUUUUUUCCUUUUUUAAAGAACACGUUUCGGUUUAUUUUAAUUGUUUUCUUUUUCUUUUUUUCUUCUUCCUUUCUUUCCCUUCCCCACUAAACACGUUCAAUUUUUUUUUUUUUCACAUUUUUUAUUUUUAAAAGUAUUUUCUUUCCCUUUUCUUCUUCUAUUUUAUUCUUCGAGCACUAAAUUUUCUCUAUUUUUUUAUAGGACACGUUUUUAAAUUAUUUUGUUUUUCUUUUUUUUUUUUCUUCUUUUUCCCCUUCGACACUAAACACGGUCAACUUUGAAUUUUUUUUUUACGGUUGUUUUUUCUUUUUAAUUUUUUUUUUCCCAUUCUAGCACUAACUUUUCUCUCAUUUUUUUUAUAGCACAUGUGUAUUAAAUUCAUUGUUAAAAUAUAUACAUAGAUUAUGAUUGCAAUUAGUGGAAUUUUUACAUUUUCAGUGUUCCAUUGUCUUGCUAUUGUACAUAUCAUAUAUGUUUACUACAUUCUUAUUUUGUUUAUAUUAUAUUUUUUUUCAAUAUCCACCCGUGCAACGCACGAGGUAAAAUACUAGUUUGAAUAAAAAAAGAGAGCUAAUAUAGUACAAGAUAUAUAAAUUGGGGACUAUAUAAUUAUUUAAUGGGCAAAAUGCACUUUGCCCCCUUAAAAAACUCACAAUUUGCACUUUCCCCCCUAAGAAACCGAAAAAGAGACUCUCCCCCUUCCAAAUUGUGCCCCAGUCGCACUUUGCCCCAAAAUUAGAAUUCCAGUGUUUUUUUUCACCGGAAAUCAAAUUUCUCCAUCAAAUUAGGGGUAUAUGCGUCAAAUCAUCUUUUCCAUCCAUUUAAAAAGAUUUAAGGGUGCAAACGUAUUUUUCCUUAAAAGAAUUUAUUUCUUUGUUUAAUUUUUUUCAUUUACAAAUUAUAGUUUUUAAUGCAAUAUAUUCAACUUUGCAUAAUUCCAAAAAUAUUUUCAUAUUUGUCAUUCAUGUUGCAAAUAUUUUCAUUAUUGUUUAAUAAAGUUUUAAUAGUAUUGAAAUUUAAAGAAACAAAAUGCAAAAAUAUAAAUUCAAUAUAACUGGAAAAAAAAAAAGAAAAAAAAAAUAGUAAUCUUCUUCCCGUGGCACCUCCCCCACCAAUUUCGACCGCCAAACAACUCUGCAUCCACCUUCUGUUCCGCCACCAGCAGCCACGCAACACCACCACACCACAGUUGCUACAGCACCACGAAGAACUCAGCCCAGAUCCGGAUAAUCCGCCUUCUAACAUUAAAUUCAAACAAUCCAUCGUCGAACAUAGCACAUAUGAUUUUAGGUGGGCGAAUAAAUUGGAGUUAUUUAUGUGCAAUUAACGUCGUCGUCUUCCUUGUUGCAGAAAUGGUCGAUUUUGGUGAUGCAGAAGGCGGGAGCGACAUCAAUCGAGCUGCAAAAUUUAAUAAUGGGAAUACGAAAAUUGAGCAACAAUGGUGUGGGCGUAAUGAAGGUUAUGGCUGUGGCGAAGAAAACUAGUGUUUUGAAGAACUUGAAAAUAGUGAGAGCAAGCAUUAGUUGAUGGGUCUUUUGCUCUAGAGCUGAUGACGAUUUUUUAUGAUGAUGAAGUGCGGUGGCAGAGGUGGUGGUGGUGCGGUGGUGGGAAGAAGGAAGGGGGUUAGGGUUCUUAAGAAAGUUCUAAAUUGCAAUUUAGGAGGAGGAAUUUAUACUCAGGUGAAAAUUUUAAAAGAAAAACAUAUAUACCCUAAAAUGACGCAUAUACCCCUUAAGUGCACGGAGAUAUUUGAAAUCCGGUGAAAAAAACACUGCAAUUCGAAUUUUGGGGCAAAGUGCAACUGGGACACAAUUUGGAAGGGGGAGAGUCUCUUUUUCGGUUUCUUAGGGGGGAAAGUGCAAAUUGUGAGUUUUUUAAGGGGGCAAAGUGCAUUUUGCCCUUAUUUAAUAUUGUUAGUACCUAACAAAAUAUUUAAAAAGUAUUAAUGGCAUUUUGCCCCCAAACUCUGGAUUGUUUCGCACAUUACCCCCUAGACUAAAAAAAAGUUGCACACCCUAAACUCUAUUAUUUGUAGCACCGAUCACGUAAUUGACUAUUUCCGGCCAAAACUUCUCCUGAAAUGCGAGUGUAGUCGUAGCUUUGAUCAAAUAGCUAACUACGUACGCAUUAACUUUGGUGGUGGAUCGUCGGAGCUUCAAUUAGCUGGCUAAGCAUUAGUCUUUUUUUCUUUUUUUGGGUAAAAGGAACCCGCAUCCAACCAUAUAGGUGCAAUGGAUAAACCUACCUCUUGUUUAAAAACUUGCAAAUCAUAUGAGAAACGUGAAUCACACUAGGCAAAUCAUGUAUGACAACCAUGUGUGGCUAAGCAUUAGUUCACUUUAGCACUAGUUAACUAAAUUGGAUCUCCGAUAACCCACCAGCGAAAAAAAAAGUUCAAAAAAAUAGUUGAAUGUUAGCUAUUGUUGAAGUCAGCUAAUAAGAAGUCAACUAAUGCGGAGUCAGCAAAUUAAAACAUCCGACAACCUAUUGCCGAGAAAAAAAAAGGGUUGGGAAAAGAAAAACUAACGUCAACCAAUGUUGAAUUCAACUAGUGCUUCGUCAACUAAUCAGAGCCACGACAACCCGUCGCCCGAAAAUACUCAAUUACGAUGAAUAAUUCAUCGGAAUUUUGCUAUCGGGGCAAUGUGCAACAAGAAUAACAUUUUAAAGGGGGCAGUCACUUUAAAAAAACAAUAGGGGUAAUGUGCGAAAAUUAGAAAUUAAAAAUUAGAAAUCAAAAAACAAAAACAACAAAAAAACAAAAAAAAUAAUAAAAAAAUAAAAAAAUUCGGUAGUCUCCGAGCCUUCUUCUUCUUCUGUAGGUACCAGUUCAUUCUUCACUGAAAUUAUCUUCAUAAAAUUGCUGAAAAAAAUGAGAGGAACUGAAAUGCUGAUUCGUAGAGCAUUAUUCGCUAAAUCUUCCCACCAUUACGCUAUUUUUACUUAUCCCUUUUCUUUCUUCUGUUCAAAUUUUCAUAGUGUGAGUCACAAAGAUCGAUCCUUUUCACCUAAACCCAGAAUAGAUUUGAGUUGUAUAAAUGAAUUAGAUGAUGCUGUUUUCUUGUUUCGUCAAAUGGUUAGAAUGCAGCCACAGCCUUCCGUUUUUAAAUUCACCAAACUACUGCAAGUUAUUUUCAAGAUGAAGCAAUAUUCGGUUGCCCUUAAACUGUUCGACGAAAUGCGUCAAUGGGGUGCCCCUAUAGAUGAGUACACAAUGACCAUCUUAAUUAAUUGUUGCUGCCUUUUGAAACGCGUAGACAUUGGUUUUGCUAUCUUCGGCUGCUUCUUUAAACUCGGACACAAGCCAGGUGUUACGACAUUCAACACUCUCCUAAAAGGAUUCUUUUUAGAUGGUAAUGUGGCCGAGGCAGAGAAAUUGUUCAAGAAGAUCUUGACUUUGAAUCUUUGUGAGCCAGACGAUGUUACGAUUCUAACUGCGAUUGAUGGGCUCUGCAAAGCUGGACGUGUUCAUACUGCCCGUGAUUUGCUUUUGUUGUUGGAAAAAACUACUAUCUAUAAACCCGAUGUUAAGGCUUAUAACGCUGUAAUAAAUGGCUUAUGCAAGACCGGAAUGGUGGAUAAUGCACUCGAGCUGAAGUCUAGAAUGAUUGAUAAGGGCAUUUCACCUGACGUUGUCACAUAUAACUCGAUGAUUCAGGGCUUGUGCGAUUUUGGUAGAUGGAAAGAGGUGAAGGAUUUAUUAAAUGAAAUGGUGAAUCACAAGAUUUCUUUAACUGUUGUUACUUUUACUGUAUUGGUGGACGCAUUUUGCAAGGAAGGAAAUGUUAAAGAGGCUCGGGAGGUAUUGGAAAUUAUGAAGCAACAAAACAUUCGUCCCGAUAUUGUCACCUACACUGCACUGAUAGAUGGGUAUUGUUUGCAAGGGAAAAUGGAUAAAGCGAAAGAGGUAUUUGAUUCCAUAGCGAGCAGCGGCCUUAAGCCGUGUAUUAUCAGCUAUAACUCUUUAAUCAAUGGGUAUUGCAAGAACGGAAAAGUUGAUGAAGCUUGGCGUCUUUUUCUCGAAGUUUCUUCGAAAGGCUUAGAGCACACAAUAACUACCUAUAACAUCAUGAUACAUGGACUUCUUAGUGAAGGUCGAAUUAAUGAUGGAUGGAAACUUUUCAAUGAUAUGGA
RNAcentral lists this long non-coding RNA (6537 nucleotides) under Erythranthe guttata (spotted monkey flower). RNAcentral describes it as "long non-coding RNA (EGUT_LNC003900)". Lineage: Eukaryota; Viridiplantae; Streptophyta; Magnoliopsida; Lamiales; Phrymaceae. The record is from RNAcentral.